This 391-nucleotide unclassified non-coding RNA is filed under the name soil metagenome. Its description in RNAcentral is "partial contains 5.8S ribosomal RNA, internal transcribed spacer 2, and large subunit ribosomal RNA". The stretch from base 1 to 122 matches the Rfam family "5.8S ribosomal RNA", at positions 35 to 154 of the family's 154-position model. The record is from RNAcentral.
GAUGAAGAACGCAGCGAAAUGCGAUACUUGGUGUGAAUUGCAGAAUCCCGUGAACCAUCGAGUCUUUGAACGCAAGUUGCGCCCGAAGCCAUUAGGCCGAGGGCACGCCUGCCUGGGCGUCACACGUCGUUGCCCCCCCAUCUACUCCUUCGGGAUUGCGGGGGGCGGAUGAUGGCCUCCCGUGCGCCUCGUCGCGCGGUUGGCAUAAAUGCCAAGUCCUCGGCGACGCACGCCACGACAAUCGGUGGUUGCGAAACCUCGGUUGCCCGUCGUGUGCGGUCGUCGCGCAUCGAGGGCUCGAAAAAAUUGCCGGGCUCCGGCUCGGCUUUCAACGCGACCCUAGGUCAGGCGGGGUUACCCGCUGAAUUUAAGCAUAUCAAUAAGCGGAGGA